CGGUAAAAGGACUCCGUUACAACUCUGCAUAUUAACUGUCUAUUUUUAUUUAUUUUGUUUUUUAAGUUUUCACACUUAGGGUUAUACCACACGUAUCAACUCUGAAAAAGAUCAUCACCGUAGUAUUUAGAGCCAUCACGGCCAGUCGAUUAUUUUACGAUUCUGAUUAGUGUGUGCUGCAGUAAGGACUUUAUACAAAGAAUAUUAAACGGCUGAAGAAGUGACUAUCCUUUCCGAGUUUACUAUGCUCUAACUCUUUACACUUAAAAGUCGUCGUCAACAAGGCGACAGUCUAAAUAUAAAGACUUCGAGUAAAUUUAGGCGAGCUGAUUUAAGCAAAAACCUUUCGGAGUUCAUGUAGUGCACACUUAUGAACUCUGUAAUUUAUCAUAAAGGCGUUUUACGAGUUCUUAUAUUUAUCGCGUUGUUGAUGACGACGCGAAAGACGAUACUAUGAUGAUACCUCUCCGACUUCAUGUGACUGAAGUGACUUUUUACGUUAAGGCUAUCGUCAGGUAGACGACGAAGCAAAAUCCCUUUCAGAGUUGUUGUGUGCCAUGACCUUAAAACUACAAUUUUUUUUUUUUAAAUAUGUUGACUUGACCUCAUUUGAACGAGAGUUAAAAAGCGUAAGCAUUCAUUCGCACGAGAGGUUUUUUUUAAAAUGCAACACUGCUCGUUAAAAAAGCGUCGUGUAACGCUGUCUCGUGCACAUAAUAUAUAAUAUAUUUGUUGUAUUUUAACGUCCAUUAAAAAACCUUACGUACGAAUGAGAUCUUAAUGAUUUAGGGAAUCCAAAAUCCAAUAUUUCUUUGUUUGUUUCAGGUACAUCCGAUGGCCUACGGGUGCACAUUGUUCAUAUCCGUCAGUUACCUGUUGGUCACGAUAUGGAUCAUGGUGGCACUGUUCUUCGCAGCCAGUAUUAUUCUGUUCUGCGGUCUAAUGAAGGAUGACGCUGUUCUCUGCGCGAUCUGGAUAUGGUACGCGCUGAUAUUCGUGAUGGCAAUGCUUGUGAUGAUGACUCUCCUCGCCAUCGUGUUCACCUCCAGGCACCAGCGGCCCAGAGUCAUCAUUGUCAUACUUGGCAUGCUCUGGUACAUUUGUAAGUUGUCUACCAUUUCUUAAACACAAACUAGGCCACGCAUAGUAUCUUAUCUUUGAAAGCUAGUUAUUAUAUCUGCCAUAAUAGACUUUCUUAGUAAAUCUAUAAAAGGAGGAUAUCCCAUUAUGCGUGUUUUUGUUGUCUCCGAGUAUAAAUUAAGAGUAUGCUAAUAGUAAAGCAAUUUUGUAAAAGUAACAGGUAUCUGCGAUCAUUACUUUCGGAGCUACAGGGAUUUAAAGGGUCAGAUUUGCGGCACUCCCACGUAUCCCUGAAAAAAGCCCCAUACAAAAUGGUACGAAUUAAUGACGUCGUAUGUACAUAAUGAUCGUUAGAUCUGUAUGGGCGUUCAAACAAAAUUACUAAUAUUGUUAUUAUUUGUGCGUUUAUGAUUAUAAUUCAUGUAUUAAAAAAUGUCACAUUUAAUGUAAAGAAACUAAAGCGGUAUGAAUUUUCAACUAUUUACGAUAAAAGAUUUUUAAUAGA
Molecule: long non-coding RNA, 1585 nt
Organism: Bicyclus anynana (squinting bush brown)
Lineage: Eukaryota; Metazoa; Arthropoda; Insecta; Lepidoptera; Nymphalidae
Exons: 2
Source: RefSeq, a predicted model, not a curated record